RNAcentral lists this non-coding RNA (208 nucleotides) under Lysobacteraceae bacterium. Lineage: Bacteria; Pseudomonadati; Pseudomonadota; Gammaproteobacteria; Lysobacterales; Lysobacteraceae. The record is from RNAcentral.
UAUAUCUUGUGUUUCGUCGGUUCCCGGUCACGGCCGGGAUUAAACGGGAAUCCGGUGCAAUUCCGGAGCUGCCCCGCAGCGGUAAGCGGAAACGAACGCCGUCAACAGCACUGGCCACACCGGCUGGGAAGCGACGGCUACUAGGAGGUUGCGGCGUCCCGCAACCGCGUCCGCAAGCCCGAAUACCUGCCGACGGCCGCGCGUUGCA